RNAcentral lists this unclassified non-coding RNA (5304 nucleotides) under Dimorphilus gyrociliatus. RNAcentral describes it as "dgyrCDS6726". The record is from RNAcentral. Lineage: Eukaryota; Metazoa; Annelida; Polychaeta; Dinophilidae.
ACACUUAACAAUUGUAAUUCAUGGAUGAAAGUGAAAAACUAACGACAACUCAUUGAAAUUGUUUAUGAAAUUUUUCAUUUAAAACGAAUAUUGGAGUAUAGCCUUGUGUUUUCUCUUCGUUAUUCUUAAUUACGAACGUCGAUACAAUGUAAAUAGAUGUAAUUUCCUUUAUUUUAUCUAUAUUCUAAAAAAGAUCAAAUUGAUUUUAAUUUAUUAAACAUUUUUAAAACGGUUAAUUUAAAAACUGUGAAGAGAGAAUUUUUGAAUAAAUUAAUAAACUUAAAGUUAAUUUUAAUUGGUAAUCAAAAUAUUAUUAUUAGUUUUAAGAGGUCAAUAUCUUCUUUAUGUUUAGUUUUUUAUUAUGGGAUAAAAGUAUCAGCUCAAUGUAACUUUUAUAUAUAUAUAUAUAUUUACAUAUAUAGAAGACAUGCCUAGCUUAUGUGUAAAGUUGGGGGCAGUAGCUUUCAGCAAUUAGGGGUACCGAUAGGGGUCGCUUCUAGGUUGAAAUAUCGUUAAACACGCCCCAAGCUGUCGCAGAGUUUUUCCAAAUUAUAAAUAUCUCAUUUAUGCUAAUAUAAACCAUUUAAGAUAAAGUAGGAUUUAUAAAAGGAUGCUAUUAGUUAUAUUGUAUUGACCAGCUGAAAAAGAACCAUAAGGAGAAUGUUUUUCUGCAAUAAUACAGCUACUGACGGAAGCCGGAGAUUGUGCAAGUUUGAUAUCUAUAGUUUUUUAGUCCAUUUAGUGUUUAGUGGUAUAUUUCUGCUUGGAACAUGUUACUUGAUCUGGAAAAAUUGGAAUAAACGACUUGGUGAAGCGUGGCGGCCAUUCUCCCACACUUCCCGCUAUAUAUGUACCAUUGCUUUGAUAUAUAUUCAUGUUUUGGAAUUGGUUGAGGGAAUAAUAGCCGAUUUAGAAUUUCCUGGACGUCAGACACAUUUGCACUUGACGACGUCUUUAUCGAUUGUUUCGGUCAUUUUGUCUCUUAUUUACUACAAUCAAAUAGAGGUGAACAGAGCUAGAGGUUUCCUCUUUUUUUUGCUAUGCUAUUGGCCGACAACUAGUGCGCUAAAUACAUUGCGAGCCAUAGAAUUAUUGAAGUUAAAUCUCACUGUUAAAAAUGUGAGGUGCUGUCUAGUUUUUGCGUCAACCUUAUUACGAUAUUAUGCUGGAAUCUGGGAGGUUUAUCUCUUUAUACGGGAGAAAUACAUCUGUUGUAGAUUUAAAAGGGAAAAAUCAUUUUUCGAUAAGAUAAAAGGUCACGAACAUUAUCAUGCAAACUUUUUGUCAAGGUUAACGUGGAAUUGGAUAACACCUUUACUAGCUGGAGGUUUUAGCAAGAAAUUAAAUCUAGAAGAUCUUGGUCAAUUUUAUCCCACCGAACAAUCUGAAUCAAAUUCUCAAAGAAUGAAUGAAGAAAUGAUGAAACAAAGUUACAAAAAUGGCGGCAAAAUUAAUUUAUGGAAAUUGAUAAUUAAAUGCCAUGGAAAAUAUUUUGCAUUGAGUGGUUUAUGCAAACUGAUUGCUGAUAUGUUAUUAUUCUUUGGCCCAUUUGUACUAAAUAGAGUCGUUAUUCAUGCUGGAUUGUAUUCUGAAAAUAAAAAUUUCUUGGGAAAUUAUUCAAUGUCCUAUCCAAUUUCUUUCCAUAGAAAUUAUAGCAAUGAAUACAAUACUACCGAAGACUUUAUUACUAAUUACAUUCCACCUCAAAAACCUGUUUAUCCUACUUGGGAUUUAUUGAUGCAAAAUGGAUUUUUUCUUGCUGUUCUUGCCCUUGGAGUACAACUUAUUCAAAAUAUUUUAUGGCAAAAUCAUUUUUUCCUUGCUAUCCGAGAAGGUAUUCGCUGUAAAGGCUCCUUACAAGGUCUUAUUUAUCAAAAGAGUUUGAGGUUAACUUUAUUUUCACUAAAUGACGAUGAAUUCAGCGGAAAAAUCCUCAAUCACAUGUCGCUUGAUGCUUAUCAUAUGUAUUUCUUGUUCUAUCUUGGUAACUGCUCGUGGACAGUUCCAAUUCAAGUUGGUGUUACAAUUUUCUUAUUAUAUCAACAAUUGGGUGUUUCCGCUAUCAUUGGAGCUAUUUUCCUUAUUUUAAUUCUCCCUCUACAAAUAACUGUUGGAGGUGUGAUGUCGAAAUUCCAAAAGAAGGCCAUGCGCUACACUGAUAAACGUAUUAAACAAUGUAACGAACUACUACAAAGCAUUAAAUUACUGAAACUUUAUGCAUGGGAGUUGGUUUUUAGGGAUAAAUUAGAAGUCACGAGAAUGAAGGAAUUAAGAAUGAUGCUGAAAGCAGCGUGUAUGAGAGCUAUUUCACUUGUUCUUACAGAGAGUGCACCAAUAUUAGCUAUUAUGGUAACAUUUCUUCUCUACUCUCAAAUGUCUGGAGAAUAUCUGACUGCUAAUAAAGUAUUCUCAGGUGUGGCUCUGUUCAAUUUACUUCUUAUACCGUUGGUUGUAGUGACAAUGAUUGUUGGAGCAAUAAGUCAUGCAAAAGUUAGUUGUAGAAGAAUUAACGAUUUUCUUGAAAUGAACGAAGUUGAAAAGGCAAUGACAUCCUUCUCUAAUGCUGAUCAUCAAGCAACGGCUGUACAAGUUGCAGAUGGUAAUUUCAGCUGGAAAGUAUCAGUGGAAGAUGACAACGAGGAAAUUGAAAAGCAUUUGAGUGAUAUCAACCUGUCGAUACCGGAAGGAAGUUUGACUAUUGUUGCUGGUCCAAUAGGAAGUGGAAAAUCAUCACUACUAUCAGCCAUCCUAGGAGAAAUGACUACAAUUUCUGGAUCAGUUAAAUGGCAAAAAGGAGCUAAGGUGGCCUAUGGAUCGCAAAGAGCUUGGUUAAUGAAUGCCACUUUAAAGGAUAAUAUCGUGUUUGGUUCUCCUUACGAUGAUUAUAAGUAUCGGAAAGUUAUUGAGUGCUCUGCCUUGAAACAGGAUAUUGAUAUAUUACCUGCAGGAGAUCAAACUGAAAUUGGUGAAAGAGGUAUAAACUUGAGUGGAGGGCAAAAACAACGAAUCAGUAUUGCCAGAACUUUAUAUUCAAACUCUGAUAUAAUUCUCUUUGAUGAUCCUAUGUCGGCAUUGGAUGUUCAUGUUGGAAGGCAUAUAUUUGACGAAGCGAUUUAUAAAUAUCUUAUAAAGGAAUUGGGUCGAACUGUUAUUCUGAUUACUCAUCAAAUGCAAUAUCUACCGAAGGCGGAUAACAUUAUUGGUAUGAGUAAAGGAAAAAUUAUUGCUAAGGGAACUUAUGAGGAUUUGAGUGAAAACCACCCAGAAUUGAUUGCAUCAUGGGAAAAAGGAUCGUCUGAAAAAGAAGAAAAAAAGUCUCUCGAAAAACGUCGUUCAUUAACAGGUUCCGAAACCGAUCUAGUUUGGAGCAGUAAAUUCGCCCAGAGUAUUUCUCGCUCAGGAAGUAUUGCUACUCUUCAUUUAGUUGGAAAUGAUCUUGAUAAUUCGGAGGACGUUGAAACAACACGAAAACAGAAGACUAUUAUUGAUGAGAAAAAAACUGAUGAUGAAGCUGGAAAAUUGAUUAAUGAAGAAGAGAGAGAAGAAGGAGCAGUAUCUCUAAAUGUUUAUAAACAAUUCUUUUUAGCUGCUGGCAUUCCUGCAUCAAUUGGAACAUUCAUGGCUUACUUUAUUAGGCAAGCCCUAAGAAUUGGUUCUGAUUAUUGGUUGGCUCAUUGGACGGAAGCAUCGAAAGAAGUUCCUCAUCUUCAUAAUAUAACUUUAGACGAAUAUCAUCAUAAAUCUGUCUCAAAUCUGAUGUUGGUUUAUGGUUUGAUAUGCUCUGGAUUUGUUCUUUUCUGUAUGGUCUGUGGAUUUACUAUUGAAUUUUCAUGCUUGAAAGCUGCUAAAUUUCUACAUUCGUCUAUGCUUUGGAGAAUUGUUGAUGCUCCCAUGCGUUUCUUCGAUACAACACCUUUGGGCAGAAUCGUAAACAGGUUUACAGGUGAUACAAUGGUUGUUGAUGAACGACUUGCGCAAAUUUUGGAUGCCUUUCUUUACUGUACUUUCUUUUCAAUUGGUGGUCUGGUAGUUAUCGCUUCUUCAAGUUUUUACUUUCUGAUAGCCGUCGUACCGCUUGCCGCUGUAUAUAUAGCUGUCCAACGUUUUUAUAUUGCAUCUUGCCGAGAUUUACAGAGACUUGAUAGUCUUAGUAAAUCUCCCGUAUUAUCCCACUUCAGUGAAACUAUCGGUGGCCUAGCUACUAUUAGGGCAUAUGAUAGACAAGAAGCGUUUUUGGAAAAGAAUUUCGAAGUAGUUGACAAUAAUAACAAAGCAUUCCUUAACUUACAAACUGCAAUUUUAUGGAUGGGAAUCAGAUUGGACUUUGUCGGAUCAUUCACUGUAUUUGCAGCAACUGUAUGUAGUUUGGUUUCAGCUUUAAAUGGAGGAAUUACGGAAGGUGUCGUUGGUUUAUGUAUAACGUAUUCUUUGAUGAUUUCUGCAAACUUGAAUUGGAUGAUGAAAGCGAUGUCAGAAACUGAAAUGUAUUUCAACGCGGUCGAAAGAAUUUGUCAUUACACAACAAUUAAAAAUGAAAAUUUUGAAGAUGGAGAAGCUCCAAGAGAUUCUUGGCCAGAAAAGGGUGUCAUUGCUCUGAACGAUUUAUCUCUAAGAUAUGAUGAGAGUCUAAACAACGUUGUAAAGAGUCUUAAUCUGAACAUUAGCGGCGGAGAUAAGGUUGGAAUUUGUGGUAGAACUGGCAGUGGAAAAUCUUCACUUAUGUUGGGACUAUUCCGAUUGAUAGAUACAUCAAAUGGAAAAACAGAAAUCGAUGGACUUGAUAUCAGCAGAGUUCCAUUAAGACAAUUAAGAUCUAGACUAGCUAUUAUUCCACAAGACCCUGUAUUGUUCGCAGGUACAGUGAGGUUUAAUCUAGAUCCAGCCCACAAGUAUACAGAUCAGGCUAUUUGGAAGGCUUUGGAAAUUUCUCAAUUAUCACCAACUAUUCAAAAAGAAGGUCAAGGCUUAGAAUUAGCUGUUUCAGAAGGAGGCGAAAAUUUCAGUUUAGGUCAACGACAGUUAUUCUGUUUGGCUCGGGCUUUAUUACGUAAUUCUAACAUCUUAAUUAUGGAUGAAGCUACUGCAUCAGUUGAUAUGGUUACAGAUAGAAUUGUUCAAGAAGUUAUCAAGCAUCAUUUCAAAGAUAGGACAGUUUUAACAAUCGCCCAUAGAGUGGCAUCAAUUCUAAACUAUGAUACCAUAGUCGUUUUACAAAACGGCGAUGUUAUUGAGACUGGUUCACCCGAUGAUUUAAAAACUAGGGAAGGAGGCAUCUUUGCAGGCAUGAUCCGAGAUAAUCUGUAA